RNAcentral lists this ribosomal RNA (1350 nucleotides) under uncultured bacterium. Its description in RNAcentral is "bacterial SSU rRNA". It matches the Rfam family "Bacterial small subunit ribosomal RNA", at positions 28 to 1381 of the family's 1533-position model. The record is from RNAcentral.
GAUGAACGCUGGCGGCGUGCUUAACACAUGCAAGUCGAACGAUUAACCCGCCCUCGGGCGGUUAUAGAGUGGCGAACGGGUGAGUAACACGUGACCAACCUGCCCCUUGCUCCGGGAUAACCCAGGGAAACCUCGGCUAAUACCGGAUACUCCGCGCAGCCCGCAUGGGAGGCGCGGGAAAGCCCAGACGGCAAGGGAUGGGGUCGCGGCCCAUUAGGUAGACGGCGGGGUAACGGCCCACCGUGCCCGCGAUGGGUAGCCGGGUUGAGAGACCGAUCGGCCACAUUGGGACUGAGAUACGGCCCAGACUCCUACGGGAGGCAGCAGUGGGGAAUUUUGCGCAAUGGGGGAAACCCUGACGCAGCAACGCCGCGUGCGGGACGAAGGCCUUCGGGUUGUAAACCGCUUUCAGCAGGGAAUAUAGUGAAGGUACCUGCAGAAGAAGCUCCGGCUAACUACGUGCCAGCAGCCGCGGUAAUACGUAGGGAGCGAGCGUUAUCCGGAUUCAUUGGGCGUAAAGCGCGCGUAGGCGGCCCGUCAAGCGGGGUUUCAAAUCCAGGGGCUCAACCUCUGGCCGGACCCCGAACUGGCGGGCUCGAGUGCGGUAGAGGAAGGUGGAAUUCCCAGUGUAGCGGUGAAAUGCGCAGAUAUUGGGAAGAACACCGAUGGCGAAGGCAGCCUUCUGGGCCGCCACUGACGCUGAGGCGCGAAAGCUAGGGGAGCGAACAGGAUUAGAUACCCUGGUAGUCCUAGCCGUAAACGAUGGGCACUAGGUGUGGGGGAGCAUCUCCUCCGUGCCGCAGCCAACGCAUUAAAGUGCCCCGCCUGGGGAGUACGGCCGCAAGGCUAAAAACUCAAAAGGAAAUUGACGGGGGCCCGCACAAAGCAGCGGAGCAUGUGGCUUAAAUUCGAAGCAACGCGAAGAACCUUACCAGGGCUUGACAUGCAGGUGAAAGCGGCGGAAAACGCCGUGGCCGAGAGGAGCCUGCGCAGGUGGUGCAUGGCUGUCGUCAGCUCGUGUCGUGAGAUGUUGGGUUAAAGUCCCGCAAACGAGCGCGAACCCCUGUCGCGUGUUGCCAGCAUUGAGUUGGGGACUCGCGCGAGACUGCCGGCGUCAAGCCGGAGGAAGGUGGGGACGACGUCGAAGUCAUCGAUGCCCCUUAUGCCCUGGGCUGCACACGUGCUACAAUGGCCGGUACGAACGGGCUGCGACGCCGCGAGGCGGAGGCGAAACCCUCGAAAGCCGGCCCCGGUUCGGAGUCGCAGGCUGCAAUUCGGCCUGCGUGAAGCCGGAGUUGGCUAGUAAUUCGCGGAACGAGCAUGCCGCGGUGAAUGACGUUUCCCGGGCCU